AUUGACUGCUUAUUGCACCACAUGUGUUUUUCUUUGAAACAAACUUGCUUUGGCGGUGGGCCCAGCCUGCCGCCAGAGGUCUAAACUUACAACCAAUUUUUUAUCAACUUGUCACACCAGAUUAUUACUUAAUAGUCAAAACUUUCAACAACGGAUCUCUUGGUUCUCGCAUCGAUGAAGAACGCAGCGAAAUGCGAUACGUAAUAUGAAUUGCAGAUAUUCGUGAAUCAUCGAAUCUUUGAACGCACAUUGCGCCCUCUGGUAUUCCGGAGGGCAUGCCUGUUUGAGCGUCGUUUCUCCCUCAAACCGCUGGGUUUGGUGUUGAGCAAUACGACUUGGGUUUGCUUGAAAGACGGUAGUGGUAAGGCGGGAUCGCUUUGACAAUGGCUUAGGUCUAACCAAAAACAUUGCUUGCGGCGGUAACGUCUACCACGUAUAUCUUCAAACUUUGACCUCAAAUCAGGUAGGACUACCCGCUGAACUUAAGCAUAUCAAAAACCGGAGGAA
Molecule: ribosomal RNA, 507 nt
Filed under: Candida albicans
Lineage: Eukaryota; Fungi; Ascomycota; Pichiomycetes; Serinales; Debaryomycetaceae
Description: eukaryotic LSU rRNA
Rfam family: 5.8S ribosomal RNA (bases 140-293)
Source: RNAcentral